UCCAUCGAUAUGAAAUCUUGAUCGAAGAGUCCCAAACCAGUGAGACUCUUGACCCCGGUACCCAAAAUAUGUGGAACUUGUAAUCAGAGAAUCUUGAUUCUCGAUCACAGAGUCACAAACACAUAGGAUUCAGAGUCCCCAAGCAUUAGGACUCUUGGUCGAAGAGUCCCAGUCCAGUGGGACUCUUCACCAGCCAUCAGAUCAGAUAGGAACCUCUAAUAUUUGUGACCCCGU
This 234-nucleotide long non-coding RNA is filed under the name Elaeis guineensis (African oil palm). RNAcentral's name for it is "long non-coding RNA (EGUI_LNC062020)". Lineage: Eukaryota; Viridiplantae; Streptophyta; Magnoliopsida; Arecales; Arecaceae. The record is from RNAcentral.